GAAUUUCAAGGAAUCGAUAUUUUAUUGUAACUAUUUUAGGGGUUUUAUUUUUGCUUCUUGCUUAAAUUCUUCCCCUAUUAUUAUGUUCUUUAAAUAACAAAGAUUCUUUUUAAAACCCCUUUUUGCUUUUGCUUUUUGGGGUUUUGUUACUU
RNAcentral lists this ribosomal RNA (152 nucleotides) under Plasmodium gaboni. RNAcentral's name for it is "partial 18S ribosomal RNA". Lineage: Eukaryota; Apicomplexa; Aconoidasida; Haemosporida; Plasmodiidae. The record is from RNAcentral.